AUGAGCGUCGACUGAGUGACUCAAGCGUAUAACUGAUUACUGUAGCCGCUCUCGAAUUACUGACAGGAUCACUUAAGUUAAGUGCUUGUUUUGGAGUGUGUGAAUCAGAUAUGGAAGUGCAUGCAGGUAUCGGGUAAGUCCGUGUUGAAGAAGCACAUCCGGUUACACAGCCGCAUCCGUUUAGAUUGGAAGUCGACCACAACAUAGCUGGGAAAAGGCUCGGGAAAUGAUAAUGAUGGUCAAAACUACAAAUGCCGUAUACCAUGUCAUCCAUAUUCCAACCCAAGCUGUUUAUGUUCGCCGGGAUGUAGUUGAUGCUGCUGUGUAGAGGCUCAUUCGUGAUGCUGAGACCCCACACCGGUAUACCUGCCUCCGCAUACUUUUCCAAGAACCUGCAAAAAUAAUACAACUAGUUGAAAAAGUAACAAAUGUUUGCCAAUUUAGCAGCAAUAUUUCAUUUUCUCUUAGUUGCGGCUAUCCAUUUUUACUGAUUUGCUUUAAUACAAGCUCAAAGGUUGGCUCUAAGAGCUCACAACACUGAGUUAAGCUCGCCGUUGUACGUAAUCUCUCCGUUUUCAGUUGUCAAAAUGUAUUUAUGCGUGCAAUAAAUCUAUCUUGGAUCCUA
This is a long non-coding RNA of Helicoverpa zea (corn earworm), 625 nucleotides long. RefSeq lists it as uncharacterized. The record is from RefSeq and is a predicted model, not a curated record. The transcript has 2 exons. Lineage: Eukaryota; Metazoa; Arthropoda; Insecta; Lepidoptera; Noctuidae.